AGUAAUGUCUGGGAAACUGCCUGAUGGAGGGGGAUAACUACUGGAAACGGUAGCUAAUACCGCAUAACGUCGCAAGACCAAAGUGGGGGACCGUUCGGGCCUCAUGCCAUCAGAUGUGCCCAGAUGGGAUUAGCUAGUAGGUGGGGUAACGGCUCACCUAGGCGACGAUCCCUAGCUGGUCUGAGAGGAUGACCAGCCACAUGGAACUGAGACACGGUCCAG
RNAcentral lists this ribosomal RNA (222 nucleotides) under uncultured bacterium. RNAcentral describes it as "partial 16S ribosomal RNA". It matches the Rfam family "Bacterial small subunit ribosomal RNA", at positions 109 to 334 of the family's 1533-position model. The record is from RNAcentral.